RNAcentral lists this ribosomal RNA (460 nucleotides) under uncultured bacterium. Its description in RNAcentral is "partial 16S ribosomal RNA". It matches the Rfam family "Bacterial small subunit ribosomal RNA", at positions 338 to 795 of the family's 1533-position model. The record is from RNAcentral.
CCUACGGGAGGCAGCAGUAAGGAAUAUUGGUCAAUGGACGAGAGUCUGAACCAGCCAAGUAGCGUGAAGGAUGACUGCCCUAUGGGUUGUAAACUUCUUUUAUAUGGGAAUAAAACGUUCCACGUGUGGGAUUUUGUAUGUACCAUAUGAAUAAGGAUCGGCUAACUCCGUGCCAGCAGCCGCGGUAAUACGGAGGAUCCGAGCGUUAUCCGGAUUUAUUGGGUUUAAAGGGAGCGUAGGUGGAUUGUUAAGUCAGUUGUGAAAGUUUGCGGCUCAACCGUAAAAUUGCAGUUGAAACUGGCAGUCUUGAGUACAGUAGAGGUGGGCGGAAUUCGUGGUGUAGCGGUGAAAUGCUUAGAUAUCACGAAGAACUCCGAUUGCGAAGGCAGUUCACUGGACUGCAACUGACACUGAGGCUCGAAAGUGUGGGUAUCAAACAGGAUUAGAUACCCUUGUAGUC